Molecule: ribosomal RNA, 254 nt
Filed under: uncultured bacterium
Lineage: Bacteria
Description: partial 16S ribosomal RNA
Rfam family: Bacterial small subunit ribosomal RNA
Source: RNAcentral
UACGGGGGGAGCAAGCGUUGUUCGGAUUUACUGGGCGUAAAGGGCGCGUAGGCGGCCUCCGCAAGUCAGUUGUGUAAUCUCCGAGCUUAACUCGGAAAGGUCAACUGAUACUGCGGGGCUAGAGUGCGGAAGGGGCAACUGGAAUUCUUGGUGUAGCGGUGAAAUGCGUAGAUAUCAAGAGGAACACCUGCGGCGAAGGCGGGUUGCUGGGCCGACACUGACGCUGAGGCGCGAAAGCUAGGGGAGCGAACGGG